UACGUAGGGGGCAAGCGUUAUCCGGAAUUAUUGGGAGUAAAGCGCGCGCAGGCGGUUGAUUAAGUCAGAUGUGAAAGGCUACGGCUCAACCGUAGAGUUGCAUUUGAAACUGGUUAACUUGAGUGCAGGAGAGGUAAGUGGAAUUCCCGGUGUAGCGGUGGAAUGCGUAGAGAUCGGGAGGAACACCAGUGGCGAAGGCGGCUUACUGGCCUGCAACUGACGCUGAGGCGCGAAAGCGUGGGGAGCGAACAGG
This 253-nucleotide ribosomal RNA is filed under the name uncultured bacterium. Its description in RNAcentral is "partial 16S ribosomal RNA". It matches the Rfam family "Bacterial small subunit ribosomal RNA", at positions 524 to 776 of the family's 1533-position model. The record is from RNAcentral.